RNAcentral lists this ribosomal RNA (468 nucleotides) under uncultured bacterium. RNAcentral describes it as "partial 16S ribosomal RNA". It matches the Rfam family "Bacterial small subunit ribosomal RNA", at positions 28 to 507 of the family's 1533-position model. The record is from RNAcentral.
GACGAACGCUGGCGGCGUGCUUAACACAUGCAAGUCGAACGGAAAGGCCCUGCUUUUGUGGUGUUCUCGAGUGGCGAACGGGUGAGUAACACGUGAGUAACCUGCCCUUGACUUUGGGAUAACUUCAGGAAACUGGGGCUAAUACCGGAUAUGAGCUCCUGCUGCAUGUUGGGGGUUGGAAAGUUUCGGCGGUUGGGGAUGGACUCGCGGCUUAUCAGCUUGUUUGUGGGGUAGUGGCUUACCAAGGCUUUGACGGGUAGCCGGCCUGAGAGGGUGACCGGCCACAUUGGGACUGAGAUACGGCCCAGACUCCUACGGGAGGCAGCAGUGGGGAAUAUUGCACAAUGGGCGGAAGCCUGAUGCAGCAACGCCGCGUGCGGGAUGACGGCCUUCGGGUUGUAAACCGCUUUCGCCUGUGACGAAGCGUGAGUGACGGUAAUGGGUAAAGAAGCACCGGCUAACUACGUG